GGGGAGCGUCGUCAUCGUGGUGAAGCCAGGGCGUGAGCGUUGGUGGAAUGGUGACGAGUGAGAAUGCAGGCAUGAGUAGCGAAAGACGGGUGAGAAACCCGUCCGCCGGAUGACUAAGGGUUCCAGGGUCAAGCUAAUCUGCCCUGGGUAAGUCGGGACCUAAGGCGAGGCCGACAGGCGUAGUCGAUGGGAAUGCAGUGAAUAUUCUGCAGCCAGUGGAUGGUGACGAAUUGCGUAUGUUGUCUGACCUUACUGGAUUGGUCGGGCCUCGAAGCAGUUCCAGGAAAUAGCCUCCACAUUAGACCGUACCCGAAACCGACACAGGUGGACUGGUAGAGUAUACCAAGGCGCUUGAGAGAACUAUGUUGAAGGAACUCGGCAAUUUACCUCCGUAACUUCGGGAUAAGGAGGCCCAUUGCUCGCGCAAGCGGGCAGUGGGGGCACAGACCAGGGGGUGGCAACUGUUUAACAAAAACACAGGGCUCUGCGAAAUCGUAAGAUGACGUAUAGGGUCUGACGCCUGCCCGGUGCCGGAAGGUUAAGAGGAGAGGUGCAAGCCUUGAAUCGAAGCCCCGGUAAACGGCGGCCGUAACUAUAACGGUCCUAAGGUAGCGAAAUUCCUUGUCGGGUAAGUUCCGACCUGCACGAAUGGCGUAAUGACUUCCCCGCUGUCUCCAACAUAGACUCAGUGAAAUUGAAUUCCCCGUGAAGAUGCGGGGUUCCUGCGGUCAGACGGAAAGACCCCGUGCACCUUUACUGUAGCUUUGCGCUGGUAUUCGUGACUGUUUGUGUAGAAUAGGUGGUAGACUUUGAAGCCAGGGCGCCAGCUCGGGUGGAGUCGCAAUGUGAAAUACCACCCUAAUGGUUAUGGAUAUCUAACCGCAUCCCGUCAUCCGGGAUCGGGACAGCGCAUGGUGGGCAGUUUGACUGGGGCGGUCGCCUCCCAAAGAGUAACGGAGGCGUGCGAAGGUAGGCUCAGAACGGUCGGAAAUCGUUCGUCGAGUAUAAUGGCAUAAGCCUGCCUGACUGCGAGAUCUACGAAUCGAGCAGAGACGAAAGUCGGUCAUAGUGAUCCGGUGGUCCCGCGUGGAUGGGCCAUCGCUCAACGGAUAAAAGGUACGCCGGGGAUAACAGGCUGAUGACGCCCAAGAGUCCAUAUCGACGGCGUCGUUUGGCACCUCGAUGUCGGCUCAUCUCAUCCUGGGGCUGUAGCCGGUCCCAAGGGUAUGGCUGUUCGCCAUUUAAAGAGGUACGUGAGCUGGGUUUAAAACGUCGUGAGACAGUUUGGUCCCUAUCUUCCGUGGGCGCUGCAGAUUUGAGGAA
This 1323-nucleotide ribosomal RNA is filed under the name Bubalus bubalis (water buffalo). Its description in RNAcentral is "bacterial LSU rRNA". It matches the Rfam family "Bacterial large subunit ribosomal RNA", at positions 1231 to 2669 of the family's 2925-position model. Lineage: Eukaryota; Metazoa; Chordata; Mammalia; Artiodactyla; Bovidae. The record is from RNAcentral.